UCUGUUUUUGUCAGUUGGAAACUAUAUUUGAACUUUCUCUUAACAGUAGUGAAGCUGCAACUGAAAAUGAUUAGGUUGUUUAGUGUGGCUAACUCUGAGUUUUUCCUGUUGGUUUCUUCUUGUUGAUGCAGGGCUGACUUGGGACAAACUUAUGAACUGAAACCGUAUGUCUUCCGUGAGCUGAAAUGAAGCAUAUAGAAUUCCGAGCUCGGUAUUUUCAAGUGGUAUUGGAGCUGACUUUCAUUCAACUCGUACUGAACCGACCUCAUGCUGAUAGCAAUGGUUCGGAUGUGAUUUGAAAGGCGUAUUGAGGGGCAUGACAUGGUGUGGAUAGGAAUGAUGAAACUGAAGAUGGUUUUUAACUAAAGACAUGGUUUAGAAUAGGCUUCCAACAUUGUGUCUUUAAAUUUUGUGAAGAUGUAAGGAUACUUUGGUGGGAUUGGAACGGUCGAAUGUAUUUGUAUUUUGAAAUUGGUUUCUGAAUUUUGUAAAGGGUUUUCUUUUAAUGACUUUUCUUGUGAUGACUUUUCUUGUGUUUCAAGUGACACCAUCCAUGUAAU
This is a long non-coding RNA of Vicia villosa (hairy vetch), 560 nucleotides long. RefSeq lists it as uncharacterized. Lineage: Eukaryota; Viridiplantae; Streptophyta; Magnoliopsida; Fabales; Fabaceae. The record is from RefSeq and is a predicted model, not a curated record. The transcript has 3 exons.